This is a non-coding RNA of Leucoraja erinaceus (little skate), 768 nucleotides long. NCBI's taxonomy places the organism in Eukaryota, Metazoa, Chordata, Chondrichthyes, Rajiformes, Rajidae. The record is from the annotation of a RefSeq genome assembly.
CCGAAGUCCAACUUCCUUGCAGUGGGUUUGUUGCGAGGUUCUGUACAGAAACAACCGGGUCACACUUCCCAGCGGGAUGAUGUCUGCGGUUUCACUCAGUCUGUUCCUGGCGUUAAUAGUCCGUGUCCAUUCCGAUGUCGUUCUCACUCAGCCCAAGACAGGGACCGCGGUUCCUGGAGGCUCCAUCACACUGACCUGUAAAACCAGCGGGUUCACUCUUAGCAGCUACUAUAUGUAUUUGAUCCGUCAGGUCCCCGGGCAGGGGCUGGAGUGGCUGCUUGCUUACCACGCGCCGACUACCACCGACUACUUCGCUCCAGGGAUCGAGAGCCGAUUUACUCCGUCCAAAGACAAUUCGAAUAAUAUGUUCACCGUGAUCGCCAGGAACCUGAAGAUCGAAGACACCGCUGUCUAUUACUGUGCGAGACAUGUGGGGUCACGGUGCUGCAAACAGCGACUUCCUCGUACAAAAACCUGGACACCAAGUUUAAUCCUGCUGCAACCUACAAGCACCGUAGGAGAGGCCGUGUGAAGCAAAUUCAAAUGAAUUUCACCGCUUAAAGUUACAUGGAUUGUUUUGAGAAAUGUCCAACUGUCUUCCGACCAAUUAACGUUAUUUUACAUGAGCUUUAGAAGAACAGCGUUUAGCUUUACAAGUGACAGCGAAGAGUCCCAUGGGACAUCCAUCCUCUGUUAGCUGUACAUGCAUCAGUUCUUGAAGAGCGAAGUAUUUGACAUGGCAUGUUUCACUGUGCUAUAGUACUAUCC